UCUGUUAUUGUUUGUUACAGGCGGUUGGAGAACUAUUUGGGAGAUUAGUAAGUAGCAGGUGCUGUUAGAAAUAAUUGUUUCUGAACUGAUUUGGAAAUGUGCAGUUAUGGUGAGCUGAAUCAGAUUUUGAUGUCUUGUGCAGGGUUAUUGUAUUGGUUCUAAUGUGUAUGGACUAGUAUGUGAAGCUGGGUAUGAAAGGCAGCAGGUCGGUUCAAGGAUCAUGGGGAGAAAGGAGGUUUGGACAUCGGUGAUGCUCAUGGGAUACCAGUGAAUUGUUAGUGACGAAGAUGGGAGCAGGGGUAUGGCUUGAAGAUAACAUGAAGGAAGCCAACGUUUUAGAACUUUAGGAUGAGGAUUAGAUUCUAGUUGUGUAAAUUUCCUUUUAUAAUGUACUUGGUCCUUGGAUAUGAACUGAAUUCAUUUUGUAAAUGUGUGGACUUGGAAUGUUGUAAUGGAGAUCUUUUUCUUCCAAAUGAAUGCAACUAUUAUUCUCUUC
Molecule: long non-coding RNA, 496 nt
Organism: Vicia villosa (hairy vetch)
Lineage: Eukaryota; Viridiplantae; Streptophyta; Magnoliopsida; Fabales; Fabaceae
Exons: 2
Source: RefSeq, a predicted model, not a curated record